CCUACGGGUGGCAGCAGUAGGGAAUCUUUCACAAUGGGCGAAAGUCUGACGGAGCAACGCCGCGUGCAGGAUGAAGGCUUUCGGAUUGUAAACUUCUUUUAUAAGCGAGAAACAUGUUGGUAACUUAUGAAUAAGGAUCGGCUAACUACGUGCCAGCAGCCGAGGUGCUACGUAGGUUCCGAGCAGUGUCCUGAGUGGCUGGGUGUAAAGAGUUGCGUAGGUGGCGUUAUAAGUAGCUAGUGAAAACUGGUGGCUCAACCAUUCAGUAUAUGAGGUAAACUGUUAAGCUUGAGCGCGUUAGGGGUAAGUGGAAUUUCUAGUGUAGGAGUGAAAUGCGUAGAUAUUAGGAGGAACACC
This 357-nucleotide ribosomal RNA is filed under the name uncultured bacterium. RNAcentral describes it as "partial 16S ribosomal RNA". It matches the Rfam family "Bacterial small subunit ribosomal RNA", at positions 338 to 710 of the family's 1533-position model. The record is from RNAcentral.